GGAUGUUAGAACAAUCUGACAGUGACAUCUGUCACUCCAUCGUAUGCCAGCUUUGAUUCGAAGGAUUUGGCUAGCAUGAAGAUGUCCAGUGAUUCCCUCACUGUGCUAUAUUUGUCAUCCUGCCUUUGGCAUUAGCUGCAUCCUCAGGAUGUCACUCAAGUCAAAGAGGGUGAUACUCCCAGAUGGAGGAGGACCAUUCUGCAGUCGAAGCAACAGAAUUAGCUAAACACUCCUCCUAAAACCUCAAAACAGAUCUGCAAGAUUCAUAUUGAAUUGCCAAUUUAAGUUUCAGUUUGUAAAACAGUAGACAUAUUUUAAAAUGUGGUGAAAUUG
Unclassified non-coding RNA from Mustela putorius furo (domestic ferret), 333 nucleotides. Its record names the gene 7SK. It matches the Rfam family "7SK RNA". From Rfam's summary of the family: 7SK was discovered as an abundant small nuclear RNA in the mid-70s but a possible function has only recently been suggested. Two independent studies have found that 7SK RNA binds the CDK9/cyclin T complex (known as elongation factor P-TEFb). The record is from Ensembl. Lineage: Eukaryota; Metazoa; Chordata; Mammalia; Carnivora; Mustelidae.